RNAcentral lists this ribosomal RNA (253 nucleotides) under uncultured bacterium. RNAcentral's name for it is "partial 16S ribosomal RNA". It matches the Rfam family "Bacterial small subunit ribosomal RNA", at positions 524 to 776 of the family's 1533-position model. The record is from RNAcentral.
UACGGGGGGGGCAAGCGUUGUUCGGAAUUACUGGGCGUAAAGGGCUCGUAGGUGGCCAACUAAGUCAUGCGUGAAAUCCCGCGGCUCAACCGUGGAACUGCCUUAGAUACUGACGGCCUCGAGGGAGAUAGGGGCGAGCGGAACUGUGAGUGGAGCGGUGAAAUGCGUUGAUAUUCACAGGAACUCCGGUGGCGAAGGCGGCUCGCUGGAUCUUUUCUGACGCUGAGGCGCGAAAGCUAGGGGAGCAAACGGG